Long non-coding RNA from Solea solea (common sole), 388 nucleotides. RefSeq lists it as uncharacterized. NCBI's taxonomy places the organism in Eukaryota, Metazoa, Chordata, Actinopteri, Pleuronectiformes, Soleidae. The transcript has 7 exons. The record is from RefSeq and is a predicted model, not a curated record.
CGCUACACUUAUUCCAGUGAAAUAGAAAAUAAGAGACCUCUGACCCGUCAGUGCCGUGGAACACUCGCACACUCUCAUCAGCUCCUGAAUUCGUCAGCUCAGUUGUGUUGAAGAUGGGACAUCUCAAUUUUGUGGCCAUGAUGGCAGUGCUUUUCACCCUUUUCGUGGAAACUGAAGCAAAUCCAUUCGUUUACAACUACGAAAGGCUAAGAAUUGCAGGCCUGGUCUGUGCCUUCUUGUUGGUGAUUGGAGGAUUCAGUGUUUUAGUCUAUCACAAAUGUACCACCAGAAGGGCCAGAAAAGUGGAAGAUGACAACAGUGAAAUCUGAUAUCUCGCUUGACAAACCGGUUCCACCCAGGAAGAGGUGUGAGAGGUGCAGAUGAGGAG